CACUCCUACGGGAGGCAGCAGUGGGGAAUAUUGCACAAUGGGCGCAAGCCUGAUGCAGCCAUGCCGCGUGUAUGAAGAAGGCCUUCGGGUUGUAAAGUACUUUCAGCGGGGAGGAAGGCAAUACGGUUAAUAACCGUGUUGAUUGACGUUACCCGCAGAAGAAGCACCGGCUAACUCCGUGCCAGCAGCCGCGGUAAUACGGAGGGUGCAAGCGUUAAUCGGAAUUACUGGGCGUAAAGCGCACGCAGGCGGUCUGUCAAGUCGGAUGUGAAAUCCCCGGGCUCAACCUGGGAACUGCAUUCGAAACUGGCAGGCUUGAGUCUUGUAGAGGGGGGUAGAAUUCCAGGUGUAGCGGUGAAAUGCGUAGAGAUCUGGAGGAAUACCGGUGGCGAAGGCGGCCCCCUGGACAAAGACUGACGCUCAGGUGCGAAAGCGUGGGGAGCAAACAGGAUUAGAAACCCCGGUAGUCCCAUGAU
This 476-nucleotide ribosomal RNA is filed under the name uncultured organism. RNAcentral's name for it is "partial 16S ribosomal RNA". It matches the Rfam family "Bacterial small subunit ribosomal RNA", at positions 334 to 801 of the family's 1533-position model. The record is from RNAcentral.